This 1442-nucleotide long non-coding RNA is filed under the name Macaca fascicularis (crab-eating macaque). Its description in RNAcentral is "lncRNA (ENSMFAG00000054178.1)". Lineage: Eukaryota; Metazoa; Chordata; Mammalia; Primates; Cercopithecidae. The record is from RNAcentral.
AGACUCCUGUCUCCAGAAAAAAAAAAACCCCACAAAAUCAAAAACAUACUAUGCAAGGAAUAAUUCUAGAAGAUGUUACAUAAUGAAAUACUUGCCAUGUUUGCAAGUAAUUUUCCCAUAGGAAUAAAUGGAAAUUUCAGCUUAUUUCAAAUUUUGCACAUAUUAUGAAACCUUAUUAAUGUAUUUUUAUCAAACUAAAUGAGAUUUGUAUUUGAAUUGUUAGUAAAAACUGGGUGCAGUUUUGGCUGAUAAUUGAAGGAAAAAUAUCAAAUACAUUGAAUUUUUUUUUUUCCAAUUUUUUCAGACCCUCUGCAGAGGUAUGAAGGUAUGAAUUUCUUUUUGGUGUCAAGAUGCAAAAACAAAUCAUGGUGCUUUUGUUGGGAGAAUUUUGUAUUCAGUAUUUUGUAUGUACCUUUUUUAAAAAAAUUGGAAAGCACAAUUUGGUUUAACAUUUAGCUUCGCUUGACUCCAGUGUAAGAUGAAGAUGACCUUGUAACGGCUCCCCUGACCUGAAGCAGAGCCCUUCCUAUCACUGACACUGUUGGAGGCUGAGAGCCCCCAGCAGAGCCCUUCCCGUCACUGACAGUGUCGGCAGCUGAGAGCCGCCCCAGCAGAGCCCUUCCCAUCACUGACAGUGUCACGGCUGAGAGCCCCCACAGCAGAGCCCUUCCCAUCACUGACGGUGUCAGUGGCUGAGAACCGCCCCAGCAGAGCCCUUCCCAUCACUGACAGUGUCAGUGGCUGAGAGCCGCCCCAGCAGAGCCCUUCCCAUCACAGUGUCGGCAGCUCAGAGCCGCCCCAGCAGAGCCCUUCCCAUCACGGACAGUGUCGGCGGCUGAGAGCCCCCCUGAGCAGAGCCCUUGCCACCUACAGAGAUUUUCUGUCAGGAGUUUCCCACAAUUUCAGACUGGUAAUCUGUGUUUAGCACUCCGGUGUUCUCUUGUAAAAAUAGCCAGGUCUGGAAAUGACCCAUGGGAAGAGGGGCCUUUGUAUUCUGCUAGAACACAGCAUAGUAGUAGAUCACUUUCCUGAAGAGCUUUUUAAAAUACAGCUAAUCUAGGAGUUUGCAAUUUUUCUUACUUUCUACAGCUCAGCAGUGACUAAUGAUGUGUGACUAUGCUGACAAGUUUGAUGAAUUUGUAAAAACUAAGCACUUAAAUGGUUGUAGAAAUGAAAACAUGGAUAUUCAGAAGCCUUUCUAUAUACACAGUGCAGUGAGAUGGUUUACAGCAAAUUCUGUUUUAUUUCUGAAAAUGUUGUAAACAUGUAAUUAGUGAAAGAUUUUGUAAAACAUUGUCCUAUGUUUGUAUGUCUGUAAAUAUAUUGCAUAAGUUCUAAGUAUAAAUAUGUCAGUAUCAUGUAUGUUAUUUUAAAUUGCCUGUAUGCCACUUUAUAUGUUGACAUUAAAAUCAAAGCCAACACUUCAGUGGCAUGUAAUAAAA